AUUGAACGCUGGCGGCAGGCCUAAUACAUGCAAGUCGAGCGGAGCGGCGGACGGGUGAGUAAAGCCUAGGAAUCUGCCUGGUAGAGGGGGAUAACGACCGGAGACGAGCGCUAAUAACGCAUAUGAUAAGAGGAGCCGAGGUCGGAUUAGCUAGUUGGUGGGGUAAAGGCCUACCAAGGCGACGAUCCGUAACAGUUCUGAGAGGAGGAUCAGUCACACUGGAACUAAGAUACGGUCCCGCCUCCUAAGGGAGGCAGCGGUGGGGAAAAUUGGACAAUGGGCGAAAGCCGGAUCCAGCCAUGCCGCGUGUGUGAGGAAGGUCUUCGGAUGGUAAAGCACUUUAAUUUGGGAGGCGUUACCAACAGAAUAAGCACCGGCUAACUUCGUGCCAGCAGCCGCGGUAAUAC
RNAcentral lists this ribosomal RNA (407 nucleotides) under uncultured bacterium. RNAcentral describes it as "partial 16S ribosomal RNA". It matches the Rfam family "Bacterial small subunit ribosomal RNA", at positions 29 to 526 of the family's 1533-position model. The record is from RNAcentral.